This 66-nucleotide transfer RNA is filed under the name Phallusia mammillata. RNAcentral describes it as "transfer RNA-Met (AUA)". Lineage: Eukaryota; Metazoa; Chordata; Ascidiacea; Phlebobranchia; Ascidiidae. The record is from RNAcentral.
UCGAAUAUAGGUUAGCGCAUAAACCGGUAAGUUUAUUUUUUAUAGAGGCCUGAGGGGCUGUUCGUG